UUUGAAUCGCACCAGAAUAGAAUGAAAGUAAUGUGGGUUGGAAAAUGAGGAAAUCCUUUAGCUACGUGUGGACACGUCCAUCCAAAUGCAAAAGAUGAGCGAUCUUGUUUCAGAAAUUCUAUGAAUGAUCAUUAGCCGACACAGAAACACCAUGGUCAACACAAAACAUGAACAUGAAUCAUUAGGUCUAGUUGUAUUAUUACUAUUAUUAUUU
This 214-nucleotide long non-coding RNA is filed under the name Vigna radiata. RNAcentral describes it as "long non-coding RNA (VRAD_LNC003778)". Lineage: Eukaryota; Viridiplantae; Streptophyta; Magnoliopsida; Fabales; Fabaceae. The record is from RNAcentral.